Molecule: transfer RNA, 71 nt
Filed under: Chloroflexota bacterium
Lineage: Bacteria; Bacillati; Chloroflexota
Description: Chloroflexi bacterium tRNA-Gln
Rfam family: tRNA
About the family: Transfer RNA (tRNA) molecules are approximately 80 nucleotides in length. Their secondary structure includes four short double-helical elements and three loops (D, anti-codon, and T loops).
Source: RNAcentral
UGGGGGAUAGUUCAACGGCAGAAUAGUGGUCUCUGGAUCCAUUGAUCCUGGUUCGAAUCCAGGUCCCCCAG